AGUGAACGCUGGCGGUAGGCCUAACACAUGCAAGUCGAACGGCAGCACAGUAAGAGCUUGCUCUUACGGGUGGCGAGUGGCGGACGGGUGAGGAAUACAUCGGAAUCUACUUUUUCGUGGGGGAUAACGUAGGGAAACUUACGCUAAUACCGCAUACGACCUACGGGUGAAAGCAGGGGAUCUUCGGACCUUGCGCGAUUGAAUGAGCCGAUGUCGGAUUAGCGAGUUGGCGGGGUAAAGGCCCACCAAGGCGACGAUCCGUAGCUGGUCUGAGAGGAUGAUCAGCCACACUGGAACUGAGACACGGUCCAGACUCCUACGGGAGGCAGCAGUGGGGAAUAUUGGACAAUGGGCGCAAGCCUGAUCCAGCCAUACCGCGUGGGUGAAGAAGGCCUUCGGGUUGUAAAGCCCUUUUGUUGGUAAAGAAAAGCAGCAGGUUAAUACCCCGCUGUUCUGACGGUACCCAAAGAAUAAGCACCGGCUAACUUCGUG
This 492-nucleotide ribosomal RNA is filed under the name uncultured bacterium. RNAcentral's name for it is "partial 16S ribosomal RNA". It matches the Rfam family "Bacterial small subunit ribosomal RNA", at positions 29 to 507 of the family's 1533-position model. The record is from RNAcentral.